AGCGAACGCUGGCGGCAGGCUUAACACAUGCAAGUCGAACGGGCAUAGCAAUAUGUCAGUGGCAGACGGGUGCGUAACGCGUGGGAACGUACCUUUUGGUUCGGAACAACACAGGGAACCUUGUGCUAAUACCGGAUAAGCCCUUACGGGGAAAGAUUUAUCGCCGAAAGAUCGGCCCGCGUCUGAUUCGCUAGUUGGUAGGGUAAUGGCCUACCAAGGCGACGAUCAGUAGCUGGUCUGAGAGGAUGAUCAGCCACAUUGGGACUGAGACACGGCCCAAACUCCUACGGGAGGCAGCAGUGGGGAAUAUUGGACAAUGGGCGAAAGCCUGAUCCAGCCAUGCCGCGUGAGUGAUGAAGGCCCUAGGGUUGUAAAGCUCUUUUGUGCGGGAAGAUAAUGACGGUACCGCAAGAAUAAGCCCCGGCUAACUUCGUG
This 435-nucleotide ribosomal RNA is filed under the name uncultured bacterium. Its description in RNAcentral is "partial 16S ribosomal RNA". It matches the Rfam family "Bacterial small subunit ribosomal RNA", at positions 29 to 507 of the family's 1533-position model. The record is from RNAcentral.